UGGGGAGGAGCAAAUUGCCACAAAAAGGUGUUCAGUUAACUGAAGAAGGGGGAGGAUGCUGGGCAAACAAAUGAAGGGAUUGCUAGAUUAUUUACUGUUUAACUUUUGUUGUGUGCAGGUCUCAGGACAGGUACCUGCUCAUCGGGUUCUUGGAUCUCCAGGCUCCUGAAAUAUUGAAGUCACACUCCAGAAUCUUUAUAAUCAAGAGCUUAAGGCUUACUGAGCUCACUGCACAAUACUGUGACCUGUCAUGGAGGAAUUACAGGAGGCAGGGUGGGGACUUGAGUACCAGGAACUGUGAUCAAUUGGGAAAGCCUUUGGACAAGCAAGAAACCAGACUAUAAUUCAUCUCCUGUGGAUAUAGUAAAAACCAUGAUGUGCAAGUUGUUAUGAUCCAGAAAGAAAAGCCAUUCAUGGGGCCUUUUCUUUAACAUUACUAGGAAAUUCACUGGGGAAGCAUGUUCCUUGUUAUCUCUCAGUUGUGGUGCCCUAUGGUACCUGAGGUCUUAAGUAUGGACAAAAGCAUCCCAGGACUAGAUGUAAUGUGGGUUUCUGGGCAUUUCUGUGAAUUCAAAUUGGUUCCAAAAUCUGGAUCUACAUAUGCCUGAAAGCAAUCAGAACUCUGGGUGGGAAUUCUGAUGAUGAGUUUAUAGAAAAGAGUUUACAAUUACAACUUCAGGAUUCACAGAAUUCUAAAUCUAAAUUGAGUCCCAUCAGAGUCCAUUUCGGUCUUACCCCUGAUGGUGUGACCUCAGAAAAGCCAUGCCAAUGUGAGGGUGUGAGCUGGAUUUUCCUGGAUAAAGAGCUACCAGAGCCAGCCAGGUGUAAAAACCUUGAAGGCAAGAGAGAGAUGGGAAUUUAUAAAUGAAAGGCCCUUUAAGAGCAAGAGGACAGUUUCAAUUUUGUAAGAUGAAAAAGUUCUGGGGUUGGCUGGAGGCUUUGGUUGGAGAACAAUUUGAAUGUAUUUAUUGCCUGUGAUCUUUGUAGUUACACAUGAUUAAAGUGGUAAAUUUUACUUAUGAAUAUUUUACUACUUUAAAAAAUAAAGAGAUUAACUAGAACCAAAAAGUGUCCCAGUAGCAAUAAAGAGUAAUGCACAAAAUUACCCGUUGCAUUUAGAGCAGCCCAGUAAAGCAGAAUCUCCCACAAAAG
RNAcentral lists this long non-coding RNA (1152 nucleotides) under Marmota monax (woodchuck). Lineage: Eukaryota; Metazoa; Chordata; Mammalia; Rodentia; Sciuridae. The record is from RNAcentral.